This 253-nucleotide ribosomal RNA is filed under the name uncultured bacterium. Its description in RNAcentral is "partial 16S ribosomal RNA". It matches the Rfam family "Bacterial small subunit ribosomal RNA", at positions 524 to 776 of the family's 1533-position model. The record is from RNAcentral.
UACAGAGGGUGCGAGCGUUACUCGGAAUUACUGGGCGCAAAGCGCGCGUAGGCGGCUUUGCAAGUCGGGUGUGAAAUCCCCAGGCUUAACCUGGGAACUGCAUUCGAGACUGCAUUGCUAGAGUAUGGGAGAGGGAAGUGGAAUUUCCGGUGUAGCGGUGAAAUGCGUAGAUAUCGGAAGGAACAUCAGUGGCGAAAGCGACUUCCUGGACCAAUACUGACGCUCAUGUGCGAAAGCGUGGGGAGCAAACAGG